This 253-nucleotide ribosomal RNA is filed under the name uncultured bacterium. Its description in RNAcentral is "partial 16S ribosomal RNA". It matches the Rfam family "Bacterial small subunit ribosomal RNA", at positions 524 to 776 of the family's 1533-position model. The record is from RNAcentral.
UACGUAGGGUGCAAGCGUUAAUCGGAAUUACUGGGCGUAAAGCGUGCGCAGGCGGUUUUGUAAGUCUGUCGUGAAAGCCCCGGGCUCAACCUGGGAAUUGCGAUGGAGACUGCAAGGCUUGAGUCUGGCAGAGGGGGGUAGAAUUCCACGUGUAGCAGUGAAAUGCGUAGAGAUGUGGAGGAACACCGAUGGCGAAGGCAGCCCCCUGGGUCAAGACUGACGCUCAUGCACGAAAGCGUGGGGAGCAAACAGG